Molecule: non-coding RNA, 759 nt
Organism: Phalacrocorax carbo (great cormorant)
Lineage: Eukaryota; Metazoa; Chordata; Aves; Suliformes; Phalacrocoracidae
Source: RefSeq, a predicted model, not a curated record
CGUUGCCACUUUCACCCUCGCUGUCCCCCCCCUUCCCCAGCUCAACCCUCCGCCGGGGUGGAUGCAGGGGCGGACGCCGGGGUACCCCGGCUCCCCGCGGGGCAGAGCGCCUUGGGAAGGACGCGCCGCCGGCUGCCCCGCUCGCUUCAGGAGGAGACGCCGCGCUGGGUGCUGCGCGGCAGCGGUUUGUUCUGCGCGGACGCGUCCUGCGCUCCGACGGCACGCCAGGGACGGCCGGCUUCUGCACCAGGCAUCCACAUGGGGCUGGCAAGUUCCUUGGAAAACGGCUUUUGAAAGCGCUUGGCUGUGGGUAUGGGUUUGUUUUUUUUUCCUCCUGCAAACCAGCAAGCCUGUCGCAGGAUCAGAGCUGUCUGCCGGGUUGUCAGGAUCCCCGAGGUGCCGGGAACAAGCCGUGCCUGCCAAUGGAGCGCUGGAGCUGCUGCCGGAGAAACCCCCCGAGGGAUGGGCAAGGGCCGAAUGGAGACUGACGCUGGGUACAGGAUACAAGCUCCGGGUCCUGACGGCUGAGAAGAAUAAAGUUGCCACAUUUCCCAAGAGUCCUUUUUCUGGGAGAGCUGCCUUCCAGCAGGACACCCUCUCCCUGCGGAUCAGUCCGGUUAGCACGGCAGACAGCGGGGUCUAUCGGCUAGAGGUUGAUACCACAGCAAAUUCUGUUAUUAGCAUUGCUUGCUUCCGCGUGUCAGUGUGGGGUGAGUAGUCGGGUCCCCACCACCCCACCGCCCUGUCCCCCCCGUCCCC